Molecule: ribosomal RNA, 688 nt
Filed under: Erwinia sp.
Lineage: Bacteria; Pseudomonadati; Pseudomonadota; Gammaproteobacteria; Enterobacterales; Erwiniaceae
Description: bacterial SSU rRNA
Rfam family: Bacterial small subunit ribosomal RNA
Source: RNAcentral
ACAUGCAAGUCGAGCGGUAGCACAGAGAGCUUGCUCUCGGGUGACGAGCGGCGGACGGGUGAGUAAUGUCUGGGAAACUGCCUGAUGGAGGGGGAUAACUACUGGAAACGGUAGCUAAUACCGCAUAACGUCGCAAGACCAAAGAGGGGGACCUUCGGGCCUCUUGCCAUCAGAUGUGCCCAGAUGGGAUUAGCUAGUAGGUGGGGUAACGGCUCACCUAGGCGACGAUCCCUAGCUGGUCUGAGAGGAUGACCAGCCACACUGGAACUGAGACACGGUCCAGACUCCUACGGGAGGCAGCAGUGGGGAAUAUUGCACAAUGGGCGCAAGCCUGAUGCAGCCAUGCCGCGUGUAUGAAGAAGGCCUUCGGGUUGUAAAGUACUUUCAGCGGGGAGGAAGGUGUUGUGGUUAAUAACCACAGCAAUUGACGUUACCCGCAGAAGAAGCACCGGCUAACUCCGUGCCAGCAGCCGCGGUAAUACGGAGGGUGCAAGCGUUAAUCGGAAUUACUGGGCGUAAAGCGCACGCAGGCGGUCUGUCAAGUCGGAUGUGAAAUCCCCGGGCUCAACCUGGGAACUGCAUUCGAAACUGGCAGGCUAGAGUCUUGUAGAGGGGGGUAGAAUUCCAGGUGUAGCGGUGAAAUGCGUAGAGAUCUGGAGGAAUACCGGUGGCGAAGGCGGCCCCCUGG